ACUUCACAUCAUCAUCAUCACACCAGUCCAGGCUAGAGACAGACACCAGCCCACCCGCGACCCUGAAUGGAUUAGCAGGUAUAGAAAAUAGAUGGAUGAAAAAAAAAAGAGAAGUGUCCCAAAAGCAAGGGCCGACUGCAACCAGUGUUACCAGGUUCAGCAGAAAUAUUUAUGGCUAUCAUUUUCCCGCAGUUUAAGGCUAAAUUAAACCAAACAUUUAGCUUGAGUUUAGCUUCUGUUUUUGCUGAGCCCAGACAGAAAGCUUCCUGUUUUGGAUCUAAUGAACCUGUUCGUUAGGCGUAGGUCCUGUAGGAGAAAUGCAUGUGAGCUCUAAACUAGCAGGACCCGUUAACUGCUCUGGAUGUUGAAGUCAAGUUAGCAAAAGGACAAAUGUGACCUAUGUCUCUAAGUGUUCCCAAGCUGGAAUACCUUAGCCUGGCCAGCCAGACUGAGCUACGCCAUUAACUCAGCAAUUCAGUCUGUCAAGCAGCCGGUAGUGCCCCAUUUCAAAGGCGAGACUAACGGGGUCAUCAGAAACAGGUUAGAACCAAUCAGAUAGCUGCGGAUGUGGGGCAGCGCAAUCUGUUUUAGCCCUUAAAGUAGCCAGACUGACGAGCUGUGUACUGAACAUGGUGUGAGUCUGACUGGCCAGGCUGGGAAUAUCCUGCUGCUACACAUAAGACAGGCUUCCUCCAUGAUGGUGUCACAAUUCUGUAGGCAGCGCUGGCAGCGAUGUCUGUUCUCUACUCUUUUUCCCUCACAGUUCGCUUCGCGCCUUGGAUUACUCACUGGUUGCUUCUCCUAGCGCUGAAGACAGAUUCCUGAAUCCCCGCCACUCAGAUCCUGCUCUGGCAUUCCCCUUGAGCCCCCCCUGGUAUUACCAAGAUGGACAAGAGUUUCCCUUCCCUGGAUUCACCCAGGUUCCUUCGGCUGCUCUCUGUUCCCUGCUACCUGCUGUGGUGCUGCUCGGGCUCCCCACCUCUGUUCCACCUGCCAGCUCACCUGUCACUCGGUCACCUAGUUCCUCCAAGAGUAAGAGUUCCACUGAAUCCGUUCUUCCACUCCACUCUACUCGGAUAGGUUACCCAUACUUGGUGGUGGAAUGAAAUCAAACAAGCCUCUGUGAUCCCCGGAUGGUAAGGAAAUGCGGCCCUUGGCCCACUGACCCCGUCACUGCUCAGCAGGAACCACAGACACUGCAACUGCCCCACAUUCAUCGACGUUGACUGAAGGCAGAAACGAAGGUGUCUGGAGAGCUCCCGGCCUGAGGGAGGCGGAGGAUGAGGUGCUUCUGAACCCACUGCCAGUGCAGAGACAGCACAGAGACGCCCCCAGAGUCAGCUUGAAGCCUGAUGCUCACGUCCCAGAAAUGAUCGCGCCAGCGGAGCAGCUGCAGGAUCUGAUGAGCAGCAGGAAAACCGCAGUGUCAAGCUCUUCGCCAGGUUGGAGAGCCAGCUGCCACGUAGGAUCCAAUCCCCAUGGGAUGCCCUCUCCGUCACCAGCCUCACUGCUGUGGGGAUGAGCCUGAGAGCGUCUCCUUCCUCCAUGUCCUCCACUCCUCCAGAAAACACACAGUCCGCGUGGACUCCGCUGCUCUGCAAGGCCUGCUGCAGGUCCCUCAGUCUCAUUGGACGACUCCUGCACAAACCCAGCGAGUCUCAUCACAACUGUCACACUCAAGGAGACCAGAAACAGACUCUACCUUGGCGGCCUGUCCGGGUGAAUUGAGACCCGCCCAGGAAGAACCCCCCACCCUCCCAAAAAAUAAAAUAAAAAAAUAAAAUAUAUGCAGCAAUCACCAUCAGCAGUCAUGCAACUACAGCCAGAGUUUAAUCUGGUGUUUCAGAGCUAAGCUAAGGGAGUUGAGGCAGAACAGGAGGACCUGCCCGUCUCUCAGAACAGAGGAGAAGCAGGAGUCUUCUGUGGUGAGAAGAGCUGAGGGGAAGGCGUCAGGCCAGACCCCGGCACACAGCAGUCCAUUACCCCAAUCCCCUGCAUCCUGGAAGGCCAAGUGCUGCUCAAUCACCUGCUGGGAUUGCUGGAAGAGAAGAGCAGCUUUUAGAUCUUAAACAACUACCUUGUUCCAUGACCUCCAAUCCAAAACCAUUCUUUAAAAGUCAGAAAUAACAUCUUGGUGCUUUGCAGUGUCUAGCCUCUCUUAUCCUGAUAUGUAGCGUGCUAUAAUAAACACUUGUCUGCUUA
Fundulus heteroclitus (mummichog) is the source of this 2202-nucleotide long non-coding RNA. RefSeq lists it as uncharacterized. NCBI's taxonomy places the organism in Eukaryota, Metazoa, Chordata, Actinopteri, Cyprinodontiformes, Fundulidae. The transcript is spliced from 7 exons. The record is from RefSeq and is a predicted model, not a curated record.